This 431-nucleotide ribosomal RNA is filed under the name uncultured Thauera sp. RNAcentral's name for it is "bacterial SSU rRNA". It matches the Rfam family "Bacterial small subunit ribosomal RNA", at positions 960 to 1382 of the family's 1533-position model. The record is from RNAcentral. Lineage: Bacteria; Pseudomonadati; Pseudomonadota; Betaproteobacteria; Rhodocyclales; Zoogloeaceae.
CGACGAAAACCUUACCUACCUUGACAUGUCGUGGUAACCUUGCUGAGGAGGCGGAGGGUCGUCCGUUCGGGACGCCGAAGAACACGAGGUGCUGCAGUGCUGUCGUCAGCUCGUGUCGUGAGAUGUUGGGUUAAGUCCCGCAACGAGCGCAACCCUUGUCAUUAGUUGCCAUCAUUUAGUUGGGCACUCUAAUGAGACUGCCGGUGACAAACCGGAGGAAGGUGGGGAUGACGUCAAGUCCUCAUGGCCCUUAUGGGUAGGGCUUCACACGUCAUACAAUGGUCGGUACAGAGGGUUGCCAAGCCGCGAGGUGGAGCCAAUCCCUUAAAGCCGAUCGUAGUCCGGAUCGUAGUCUGCAACUCGACUACGUGAAGUCGGAAUCGCUAGUAAUCGCAGAUCAGCAUGCUGCGGUGAAUACGUUCCCGGGUCUU